AUAGCGUAUAUUAAAGUUGUUGCAGUUAAAAAGCUCGUAGUUGGAUUUCUGUUUUGGAUGUCCGGUCCGCUCCCUCUGGGAGUGUGUACUUAUGGAUGUUCGAGGCAUUUUUUGUGAGGCUGCCUUUCUGCCAUUAAGUUGGUGGGUUGGUGGGCUUGCAUCGUUUACUGUGAAAAAAUUAGAGUGUUUAAAGCAGGCGUUUGCUCAUUUGAAUACAUUAGCAUGGAAUAAUAAGAUACGGCCUUGGUGGUCUAUUUUGUUGGUUUGCACAGCAGGGUAAUGAUUAAUAGGGACAGUUGGGGGUAUUCAUAUUUCAGCGUCAGAGGUGAAAUUCUUGGAUCGCUGAAAGAUGAGCUUAGG
This 360-nucleotide ribosomal RNA is filed under the name uncultured eukaryote. RNAcentral describes it as "SSU rRNA". It matches the Rfam family "Eukaryotic small subunit ribosomal RNA", at positions 594 to 945 of the family's 1831-position model. The record is from RNAcentral.